Molecule: long non-coding RNA, 721 nt
Filed under: Anas platyrhynchos platyrhynchos (common mallard)
Lineage: Eukaryota; Metazoa; Chordata; Aves; Anseriformes; Anatidae
Description: lncRNA (ENSAPLG00000031099.1)
Source: RNAcentral
UUUGUCGCUUCCUUUAGCAGGGAUGCAAACUGCACAGAUCCCGGUAGGAAAAGUGUCUGCCCCGCUCCCCUCCGCCCUCCAAAAUUUCUCGGGUGCCUUUAUUUUAGAGGGAGAGGUUUGCUGGGAUGGGGACGUUUGGUUGCCAGCAGCAGCUGCUGCCUGGGGGCCGGGUUUGGAGGUUACAUCGCGGCUCUGCGCUUCUUGUCUGAGGCGUCCCCUCCUGGAGCAGCGGGCUGGGGCCCCGCGGCUGCCCCCGUAGCUGUGCAGAACAAAGGGGGAGCGCCCGGCUGCAAGGCAGGGCUCUCUCGGGGAGGAAAAAAGAGCAGGACCCGAGCAUCUGGAACACACAAACCUUUCCCAAACCCUGCCAAAAGCGGAGGAAGGCUCCCGGCUCCCUGCCUCGCAGGCGGGGACCCUUUGUUCCUGCAUCCCUCCCUCCCUCCCUCCCCGGGCGGGGGCAGCGCAGCGGGGCCGGGGCAGGAGGCGGGGGAGCGGCGGGUGCGAGCGGCUACAGAGCCGGGCUGGGGACCCCGCCCUGAAGCGGCUGACCCGAGGGUCAAAUCCUUGGCCAUGUUCAUGGAGCAUCAAGAGACACAGAAAUAAGAGUAACAGGAAUGCGUCUCAGAACUGUUCAUUUGCUUGAGGAUGUAAAUUCACUUCUGCUAUUGACGAAUUUGCCCCAUUCUGCAACAGGUAAAUAAAACCCAAAACCUUACAAACA